Molecule: ribosomal RNA, 244 nt
Filed under: Staphylococcus aureus
Lineage: Bacteria; Bacillati; Bacillota; Bacilli; Caryophanales; Staphylococcaceae
Description: partial 23S ribosomal RNA
Rfam family: Bacterial large subunit ribosomal RNA
Source: RNAcentral
CUUAGUACCCGGAGGAAGAGAAAGAAAAUUCGAUUCCCUUAGUAGCGGCGAGCGAAACGGGAAGAGCCCAAACCAACAAGCUUGCUUGUUGGGGUUGUAGGACACUCUAUACGGAGUUACAAAGGACGACAUUAGACGAAUCAUCUGGAAAGAUGAAUCAAAGAAGGUAAUAAUCCUGUAGUCGAAAAUGUUGUCUCUCUUGAGUGGAUCCUGAGUACGACGGAGCACGUGAAAUUCCGUCGGA